Long non-coding RNA from Pieris brassicae (large cabbage white), 615 nucleotides. RefSeq lists it as uncharacterized. The transcript has 3 exons. The record is from RefSeq and is a predicted model, not a curated record. NCBI's taxonomy places the organism in Eukaryota, Metazoa, Arthropoda, Insecta, Lepidoptera, Pieridae.
GAAAAUAUCGAUACUACUCGGGUAUCGAUACUUUUUGGUGAUCACUAAAUUUGUUUUUAAGCCAUUCAUUUUGUUUAAUGGCGUCCAGUCAUCGUUUGUCACCCUUGCAGUAGAAAUCGUUUUACGUACUCCUAUAAACUUACAACGUUUGACUACCAUGGCGUCUCCGAAGCCCAUUGUUUGAAGAGUUAAGUGAAGUGCAAGUGUUGGACUCAAAUUAGCCGCUUGUCACGGCCUCCUCUUCUGCGCCGAUCCUUGACGAACCGGUUGCUGGUCCUAGUGGGCUGACUAGUCCUGGCGAGGAAUUUGCUGCGAUGCCCAGACUUACUAGGUCAUCUGGCAGAAGGCUUAAUCCUUACUCGGAUGAGUUAAAAGGCCCAUUCUCGGACGGAAGAGGGAACCUAUGCAAGGAUAAGGAAGAAUCUUCUUUUGAUGGUAUACCGCAUUUUGAGUAUUUUCCCUACCAUGUUUUGGCAAAGUACAACACAAAAUCGUCAAUAUGACUUACCUCAACCGAGAAGAGUGCCUUUGUCAUCAGUGUCAUCUAUAAUAUAAAAAAUGAAUCGCAGAAUGUGUAGGUAAGCGCAUAACUAUACAAAGCCUGAACCAAUUGUA